RNAcentral lists this long non-coding RNA (3273 nucleotides) under Triticum aestivum (bread wheat). RNAcentral describes it as "long non-coding RNA (TAES_LNC003432)". The record is from RNAcentral. Lineage: Eukaryota; Viridiplantae; Streptophyta; Magnoliopsida; Poales; Poaceae.
CCCCGAGGGGGCACGCGAACGGCCGGCCCCGGGAGGACAACGAGGAGGAGGAAGACGAUGAGGAUGAGGAGGAGCACGAGAGGAGGGCUCCGGAGAGGCGGCCCAGGCAGGUCGAGCUGCGCCGGGACUGCCCCAACCCCGACAGGUAUACUGUCUUUAGUUGCAAUGGAGGGUGCUAAGAUUGUUGGCGAUGCAGUGGUCUCUUACUAGUCACUAAUUAGUCAUACAAGCCAUAAAUGAUGCAUCUGGACCCUACCGCGAACGGCGCGACCGGGCGGGGCGCCGGCGCCACCACUAGACAUGGUCCCGUACCGUCUUGUGGCAGGUCCUCGGGCUGUCCAGGCAAGAGCAAGGUGAAUGUUAUUCAUUCGAAUUCGUGUACUGCAAACUUUUUCCUUUGUGUCCACUGUAAAAGUUGAAGGAUGAGUGCGUCUCAACUCAAGUGUAUACAUUGAUUCAGUGUUGUACUGUUAGAUUAGCUCGUCACCUUCAGUAACUGCUACAAGCAGAGCUAUGUGUAUCCCUGUUCUGAACUUGGAUGAAUUCAAGUCAACCGUUCAUCUUGUGUUCUGAACUUAAGAUUUUAUCAGUGUGAGGUUUCCUUGAAAAAAUGUGUGGUGGUUUUCUCCCCACGCCGAUGUAGCGGCCCGCACAUUGGAGACACGAGCAUCGCCAUGGUUUGCUGCAGAAUCUGAAACCAACCAAUUAGAACCUGAAACCUCAUGGUCAACUCAGUCUGAAUAAUAUUGCCUUGUACUACUAUUUGUAAUUUUGGUCAUGUUUAUCUAUUUUGAUUUCUAGUUCUACAUAGCUGUGCAAGUGUGCUAUAGUUGUUUAUUCUGUGACAUGGGAUACUUUUUUGGUUAGUUAUAAGCAAUGAACAUUUAGCCCGGCUUGCUUGAUCCUGGCUCCACCAAUAAUAUAUGUAGCUAUCUUGCUUAACUUUUCAUCAUGUAUGAUAAAAAUGUGAGGCUCUAGUUAGGUCUCUUCUCUGAACUUCAUUGCCUCAUGGGAUGUAGUGGUCUCUCUGUUCCAUAAGCUGUAAUUAAUCAUAUCCAAAACACAAAUUAUCUGUCCCGGUUUAUUUUCUUGGAUUUAAACAAUGGAUUGAUCUCUUAGCCACCAAUAUAUCAUUCUGUAAGCUGUAAUCAAUAGUAUCCAAAUGGAAUGGGACCUUUCUUUUAUUUGAAACUUCCAAAUCAAGUGUUUUCCUUGAAAUAUAUUAACGGUGGUGUAAGUGAUUUAGCUUUUGAACAGAAACUUUUACAUGGUUCUAGUUGCUUUGACGGUACAAUAUGUUCUACUGUACAUUAUAUUUCCAUAUCCAUAUAAUUUAGUUUGAGAAAGUAACUUAAGGAGGUGUAUCCCUUUUUAUAAUUCCUCUACACUACUCAAUCGCUAUCUGCCUCUAAUUGUUAUAGUGACAUCACUUAUGGGUGCGGCGCUAAAUUCUUGAGAACCUGCUCUAAUCAUCAUACUUUCCAUCCCUCCGUUCAGAUGUAUUACUGUUUCUGAACUAUCAGGCACAAAGGAUGCCUAGCCUUGUUCAUCUGGUGAUCACUGUAUUGGAACCUGAAGGAUAUUUAGCCUUGUCAUCAUGAUGGCCGUUGUCUUCCUUUUUCCUGAAUAUUAUGACCAGCUGAUUAAAGCCUGAAACUGAAGCUUGAUCUUACUUAAAAUUGACCACAGCCUAAUUUUUAUGCUGCAGUUAGGCCUUGGAUAGAAAAUAAACGUGUUAUGCAGGUGAUAUUUCACUAUAUUAUUUUAGUUUUGGAAAUGCACAUUCACGGAUUAUAGUAGCAUUUCUGUCUACUGAAUUUCGUUCUGCUGUUUUUUUUCAUAUCGCUCAUUCUAUUGGCAUGUUUACUCAAAUGUGCCUAAUGUGGUGAGAUCCGGCUGGGCGGCGCCUCGGUCUGUCCUGUCGCGGUAGAUCUCGCUGGUGUAGGGUAGAUGUUAACCCACCAUGGCAAUUCAUAGAUGUAGAGACGCACGGGGAGCACAUGAGCAUGGUUUCAGAUCAGGCUCCUGUGACGAACCCCAUCCGGUCCAGAAGCCUCCAGGUCUAGCGUAUCGGCGUGAACGCCAUCUCUUUCAGAAUGUAUGGACUUUCUCGUCGCUUGCCCCGUUGUACAUCAUUGUUCCCUUUUUAAGGAUACAUUCACCUAGUUCCUGUUUUUUAUGGCUUUUGUUCUGUUUGUUUACAGAUUAAGUCUGUCAUUGCCUUUACCAUGUUUCUUAAAGCCUUUGGUGGUCUCCUUUUCAUCAUCAGCAGCUCGUUCGGAGCAGUCAUACUGGUGCGUACUCUUCUUGUGCAUGCACUAUAUCUAGAAUUAUGUUAUGUUAAAGGGGCAUCUAGAUGCAUACUGUUAUGGCUGCCAUUAAAUACAUGUCUUCUCAAACUAUUUAAAAGGAAGUGUUGUUGUCGUGCCAUUUAGGUAGUUUCAAAAGAUAUGAUGUGCUUGGCUGUUAAUGUUUUAGUGUGCGCUUCUCACCUGCUGUAAAAGGCCAAUUCGGGCAUUGUAGCUGCUUCAGUAUUUGAUCUGCAUAUAUUUUGCUUUUGCAAUAUCCUGUUCUAACAUCUGAAAAUGGAAUACUUUAACAAUAUAAUCUUCCUAACUUUUUGCAACUGAUUUUUGUUGUAGUCCAAAAUUAUAUGUUUGUGUUUAUUGCCUUUUUUAGUGUGUUGAUAUUUGAAAGGGGAAUAGGGCAACGUGUUGCACUCUUGCUUUUGUUAGAGCACUAUAUUUUAUUGUUAACCAUGCUAUGGUCCAAACUCCUUUUUAUUCUGCUGAUAUGAUAUUGCUCAUCUUUUGUUUUCUGCUCGAUGCCUCCAGUAUUUAGAGUAGAAAUAUUCUUAACUUAGUGUUUCUUGAACAUGGCCAGGGCAAUGGAUAAAAUCUACUCUAGAUAGUUGGCAGAGGGAGUACAUGCUAAGUUGACUUUUUUCCCGCGGAUUUGCUUAUCGUGAAGAUGCUUGCAAGGAUGCAGAGGGAGCGGAUCAUUUGGAGAGAUAGGAUGCCACUAUUUGGUGUUUUUAUGCAUUUUGGUUUGCUUGUAACUGUGUUUGCACUAGCUGGGAGUAAGUGACUUGGCAAGAAGUGUAGGUGUUUUAAUUGAAGGCAUGAAAAGCCAUGAAAAUAUGUAUGCUCUUAACAGAUGUGCUCUAAUGCUGCUGGUUUAUUAUAAAUCUUGGAUCAGUACUGAUGUGUAAUGCUGCUUGUUUAUUGCAAAUAUGUGUUUGUUUUAGUUGGAAUUGUAUGCAUAGAAUGUAAU